RNAcentral lists this transfer RNA (105 nucleotides) under Candidatus Helarchaeota archaeon. Its description in RNAcentral is "tRNA-Val". It matches the Rfam family "tRNA". Rfam says of the family: Transfer RNA (tRNA) molecules are approximately 80 nucleotides in length. Lineage: Archaea; Promethearchaeati; Candidatus Helarchaeota. The record is from RNAcentral.
GGACGGGUAGUCUAGGAAUCACCUUCAGUUAGAUGAUUGGAAAUUGGUUAUGAUGCUGCCCUUACGAGGCAGAGGUCGAGGGUCCAAUUCCCUCCCCGUCCACCA